This is a long non-coding RNA of Sarcophilus harrisii (Tasmanian devil), 1690 nucleotides long. RefSeq lists it as uncharacterized. Lineage: Eukaryota; Metazoa; Chordata; Mammalia; Dasyuromorphia; Dasyuridae. The record is from RefSeq and is a predicted model, not a curated record. The transcript is spliced from 2 exons.
CCCAAAUGUCUGAGGUAACCCUGCCCACACUCAGCACUGCGUCACCUUUCCCCCCAAAUUCAGACUUUACAGCCCAGGGACCCAGGUGUCCUGUCUCCCUGUCCCCAGCUUUUCGUUAGAGAUUCAGCUGUUCUGCCUCCAGAUCCAGCCCCUCAUAGGAUCCUCGGUCCUGCCUGCCCUGAGGCCCCGCUUUGGGUGCAGGCAACGGAGCUCCCGCCUGGCCCUGUCCGGCCCCUCAGUUCUUGGGCUGCUGCCCUGCCAGCCCCCGGUUCUGGCUCCCUCUACCCAGGCUCCCUUUAGGGACUCUAAGUGUAAGUUCUGCCAGAGGGUCCCAGGCGUCCUAGGCAGGCUUCAGGACACGGCCGCGCUGCUUUCCCAGGCUCUGUGUCCAGCAGGAGCCUGCUGUCAGUGCAGUGUCCCUGCCCUCUAUGCCAUGAGCUGUGUCAGAACAUCUUCCUCCCAGACCUACCUGGGCUUCCCUGCCCCCUCUUCUUUCAGAGCCCCCAGGCUCUCUGCCAGGGGGCUGGGUCCCAGAUGGGAUUUUUGUCUCCCAGCCGCAGGCAUUCCCUGCUCCUUCCCCGGUGGCUGGGACCCUGAUCCCUCCAGGAUCCCUGCCAGGGUCAAGCAGGCAGUUUGUUGUCUAGAUAAGGACUAUGUGUUUGUGAGGGGGAGGGCCCAGGGAGGGACAAGGAGAGGGAGAGACAGAGAGAGUGAGGAAUGAAAGUGAAGAAUGAGAGUGAGAGUGAGAGAGAGAGAGGAGAGUAUUGGUGUGAUGGGAGACAGGGAGGGCAGAAGACAUAUGGGAGGGGGAAUCUCUGACUCAUGGACUAUUGAGGAUCUGACUGGACUCAUCCCAUGUGGGAUCCCAAGCCCCCUUUUCCUCCUGGGUCUCUAAAGGAAGAUGGGGAAGAGGAAGGGGAAGAAGGUAUAAAGACUUCCCUUUUCCAGCCCUGCCCCUCCCUGCUGCCUCCCUCCCUCUCUUUGUGACUGCUGUGAGGCCUCACCCUUGAUAAAGCCCCUCAGCCCAGCCUCCUGUCCCAGAAAGACAAGGAAAAGUUGUUCAGAGGACAAGGCCUGCCCAAGGAGGGAGCCGGAGCCGGAGGGGAUGGCCGGUGGGAGCCACCCCCCCCCCCCUCAGGCAGAAGAUUCACACUGGCUCAGGUUUUCCCUGUAGCUUGUCCUCUGGACAAUGGCUGUGAGAACUCAGGAUGGGGGCUCAGGACCCUUCUGUUCUAUCUCUAGAACAGUAACUAUAUAUUACAAAGCCUGCUGAUGUGACAAAGUGAUUUGUGCAAGCCACAAGGAGGUACAAGGGGGAGAUUUUUUUGGAACUAUAGCCCUAAACUAUGGUACUCUUCUUGGGGUCAGUUUUCUGAAAAGGCCUCACUUACCCUCAAACUGACCCAAUACAAUUUAACAAACUAAUUCAAAAUGGAGCUAUUUUAAAAGAAAAUUAGAACAUGGAACACAUUACUUAUCACACAGAUGGAGAGCCAAAGAGUUUGGGAAUAUACAAGAGAAUGAAGAGGAAAAUUAAGUAAUAAAAACAAUUUAAAAUCAGAUAAAAUUUCUUAAUCAUUAUUGAUCGAAAAGGAAUGAAGUGAGCCUGAAUGUUUUUCCACAUGGAUUAUGUGAAUGAGGUUUUAUAUCUAGUAUGGGAUCUUCCAUGUCUAGUCUAGUCCCAGAAUAA